AAAUAUUGUGAACCUUAAUUAUUAGUAGCUAGGUUCUUGAAAAUUAAUAAAGAUGGCGGUAUUUUAGUCUAUUCAGAGGAAUCUGCCCUGUGAUUGAUGCUCCACGAUUUAAAUUACUUACACUUUAAGCUUACAUAUCGCUGUAGGUUGAAUAUUUUUACUGAAUUGAAAAUAUUCACAGGUUUGAGAGAAAGGAUAUCAAGUCAAGAUGUAGCUUAUGUUUAAGGAGAGGUGGAUUACACUACCGAUAUUUGUGGUUAGUAGUUUGAAAUGGCUGCUAUAAAAUGGAUUUGAUAGUAAUUUUUUAUUAAGAUUUGAAAAAUGAUUCUGGCU
Molecule: ribosomal RNA, 333 nt
Filed under: Coccotrypes variabilis
Lineage: Eukaryota; Metazoa; Arthropoda; Insecta; Coleoptera; Curculionidae
Description: partial 12S ribosomal RNA
Source: RNAcentral